RNAcentral lists this ribosomal RNA (1692 nucleotides) under Acinetobacter baumannii. Its description in RNAcentral is "partial 23S ribosomal RNA". It matches the Rfam family "Bacterial large subunit ribosomal RNA", at positions 1 to 1744 of the family's 2925-position model. The record is from RNAcentral. Lineage: Bacteria; Pseudomonadati; Pseudomonadota; Gammaproteobacteria; Moraxellales; Moraxellaceae.
AGUCAAGUAAUUAAGUGCAUGUGGUGGAUGCCUUGGCAGUCAGAGGCGAUGAAAGACGUGAUAGCCUGCGAAAAGCUCCGGGGAGGCGGCAAAUAUCCUUUGAUCCGGAGAUGUCUGAAUGGGGGAACCCACCUACUUUAAGGUAGGUAUUGCAACAUGAAUACAUAGUGUUGCAAGGCGAACGAGGGGAAGUGAAACAUCUCAGUACCCUUAGGAAAAGAAAUCAAUUGAGAUUCCCUCAGUAGCGGCGAGCGAACGGGGAUCAGCCCAUUAAGUUAUGUGUGUUUUAGUGGAACGCUCUGGGAAGUGCGAACGUAGAGGGUGAUAUUCCCGUACACGAAAGGGCACACAUAAUGAUGACGAGUAGGGCGAGGCACGUGAAACCUUGUCUGAAUAUGGGGGGACCAUCCUCCAAGGCUAAAUACUCCUGACUGACCGAUAGUGAACCAGUACCGUGAGGGAAAGGCGAAAAGAACCCCUGUGAGGGGAGUGAAAUAGAUCCUGAAACCGCAUGCAUACAAGCAGUGGGAGCACCUUCGUGGUGUGACUGCGUACCUUUUGUAUAAUGGGUCAGCGACUUAUAUUCAGUAGCGAGGUUAACCGUAUAGGGGAGCCGUAGAGAAAUCGAGUCUUAAUAGGGCGUUUAGUUGCUGGGUAUAGACCCGAAACCAGGCGAUCUAUCCAUGAGCAGGUUGAAGGUUGGGUAACACUAACUGGAGGACCGAACCCACUGUCGUUGAAAAGCCAGGGGAUGACUUGUGGAUAGGGGUGAAAGGCUAAUCAAGCCUGGUGAUAGCUGGUUCUCCCCGAAAGCUAUUUAGGUAGCGCCUCGGACGAAUACCAUAGGGGGUAGAGCACUGUUUCGGCUAGGGGGUCAUCCCGACUUACCAAACCGAUGCAAACUCCGAAUACCUAUGAGUACUAUCCGGGAGACAGACUGCGGGUGCUAACGUCCGUAGUCAAGAGGAAAACAAUCCAGACCGCCAGCUAAGGCCCCAAAAUCAUAGUUAAGUGGGAAACGAUGUGGGAAGGCAUAGACAGCUAGGAGGUUGGCUUAGAAGCAGCCACCCUUUAAAGAAAGCGUAAUAGCUCACUAGUCGAGUCGGCCUGCGCGGAAGAUGUAACGGGGCUAAAACUAUGUGCCGAAGCUGCGGAUGUAUACUUUGUAUACGUGGUAGGGGAGCGUUCUGUAAGCCGAUGAAGGUGUGUUGAGAAGCAUGCUGGAGGUAUCAGAAGUGCGAAUGCUGACGUGAGUAACGACAAAACGGGUGAAAAACCCGUUCGCCGAAAGACCAAGGGUUCCAGUCCAACGUUAAUCGGGGCUGGGUGAGUCGACCCCUAAGGCGAGGCCGAAAGGCGUAGUCGAUGGGAAAAUGGUUAAUAUUCCAUUACUUCUGUGUAAUGCGAUGAGAGGACGGAGAAGGCUAAAUCAGCCUGGCGUUGGUUGUCCAGGUGAAAGGAUGUAGGCAUGUAUCUUAGGCAAAUCCGGGGUACUCUAUGCUGAGAUCUGAUAGCAAGCUGUACUUGUACAGCGAAGUGGUUGAUGCCAUGCUUCCAGGAAAAGUCUCUAAGCUUCAGUUACACAGGAAUCGUACCCGAAACCGACACAGGUGGUCAGGUCGAGUAGACCAAGGCGCUUGAGAGAACUCUGCUGAAGGAACUAGGCAAAAUGGUACCGUAACUUCGGGAGAA